This 557-nucleotide long non-coding RNA is filed under the name Sinocyclocheilus grahami. Its description in RNAcentral is "lncRNA (ENSSGRG00000042639.1)". The record is from RNAcentral. Lineage: Eukaryota; Metazoa; Chordata; Actinopteri; Cypriniformes; Cyprinidae.
CACUCUGGACCAACAUCUGGAUCUGCCUUCAGAUGAAACCAUGGCCUUCAGAAUGAAUCUCUCUGAAGAACAUGACACACAGAUAAAGACAGUCAAGAGUCUGAUUCAGCGUUUUGAAUCAUUCUUGCCUGAACACAUCGAUGUGUCUGUGAGGAAAAAACAACGGAGGGAUCUUUCAGAUCUCUGCAGAGAGGAAGACUCUUCUGUUGAGCGCAGUCUGUGUGAGAAUGAAUCACCUGAACCCAGCUGUGUGUCCAUGAAGAGUGACCGGUCAAUGCAUCCUCCACUUAAAUUCAGCUCGGGAGACUCAUCUGCUGAUCUGAGGUGUUGUUCAGUUUACAUUAUAAUAAAUAUACAGUAUAUAUGAUAUUCAUUCAUUUACUGAUCUGUAUUAAAUACAUUAAUACAUAUUUAUACAAAUAUUCAAUAUUUGUUUAACUACAGUCAAAAGCAUGAAGGAGCAGAAUCACAUACAGCAAAGAAUAACUUAGACUCCAUUUUCAAGGUCGGUUUUGUGUGUGUGUGUGUGUGUGUGUGUGUGUGUGAAGUUAUUAACA